GGGCUCGUAGCUAAGCAGACGAAUGGCUUAAUAUAGCGCCCGAUUCGCAUUCGGGAGGCCGGGGGUGCGAUUUCCGCCUUUUAGGAAAAGGCGGCCCAAAACCCACAGUUAAUUGGGUUACGCAAAUCCCCUCGAGUCCA
Molecule: transfer RNA, 140 nt
Filed under: Microcaldota archaeon
Lineage: Archaea; Nanobdellati; Microcaldota
Description: tRNA-Ala
Source: RNAcentral